UACGUAGGGUGCAAGCGUUAAUCGGAAUUACUGGGCGUAAAGCGUGCGCAGGCGGUUAUGUAAGACAGGUGUGAAAUCCCAGGGUUUAACCUUGGAACUGCAUUUGUGACUGCAUAGCUAGAGUACGGUAGAGGGGGAUGGAAUUCCGCGUGUAGCAGUGAAAUGCGUAGAUAUGCGGAGGAAUAUUGAUGGCGAAGGUAAUCCCCUGGACCUGUACUGACGCUCACGCACGAAAGCGUGGGGAGCAAAC
RNAcentral lists this ribosomal RNA (250 nucleotides) under uncultured bacterium. RNAcentral's name for it is "partial 16S ribosomal RNA". It matches the Rfam family "Bacterial small subunit ribosomal RNA", at positions 524 to 773 of the family's 1533-position model. The record is from RNAcentral.